ACGCUCUUUUUCGUGGCGCCUCGGAGGCGGUAGGCUGCUUCAGGAUGAAGCUGAACAUCUCUUUCCCAGCUACUGGCUGCCAGAAACUCAUUGAAGUGGACGAUGAACACAAACUUCGUACCUUUUAUGAGAAGCGUAUGGCCACAGAAGUUGCUGCUGAUGCUCUGGGUGAAGAAUGGAAGGGUUAUGUGGUCCGAAUCAGUGGUGGCAAUGACAAACAGGGCUUCCCCAUGAAGCAAGGUGUCUUGACCCAUGGUCGUGUCCGCCUGCUGCUGAGUAAGGGGCAUUCCUGCUAUAGACCAAGGAGGACUGGAGAGAGAAAGCGCAAAUCUGUUCGGGGUUACAUUGUGGAUGCCAAUCUCAGUGUUCUCAACUUGGUCAUUGUAAAAAAAGGGGAGAAGGAUACUCCUGGACUCACUGAUACUACUGUGCCUCGUCGCCUGGGGCCCAAAAGAGCCAGCAGAAUCCGCAAACUUUUCAAUCUCUCUAAAGAAGAUGAUGUCCGCCAGUAUGUUGUGAGAAAGCCCCUAAACAAAGAAGGUAAAAAACCUAGAACCAAAGCGCCUAAGAUUCAGCGUCUUGUUACCCCACGUGUCCUCCAGCACAAACGGCGGCGUAUUGCUUUGAAGAACAUUCGAGAAGCAGAUGAUGGACCAAUUACCAAGUGGUUAAGAGCACAGAUGGCAAAGCUGGAGAGAAUGGACAUGAAUCCUGGCUCCCCCACUUACCGGAAUGUGAUCUUAUGUGACUUCUGUGCCUCUUUCUCCUCAUCUGUAAAAUGGGAAUAA
Leptonychotes weddellii (Weddell seal) is the source of this 788-nucleotide non-coding RNA. NCBI's taxonomy places the organism in Eukaryota, Metazoa, Chordata, Mammalia, Carnivora, Phocidae. The record is from RefSeq and is a predicted model, not a curated record.